Leopardus geoffroyi (Geoffroy's cat) is the source of this 232-nucleotide long non-coding RNA. RefSeq lists it as uncharacterized. The record is from RefSeq and is a predicted model, not a curated record. The transcript has 2 exons. NCBI's taxonomy places the organism in Eukaryota, Metazoa, Chordata, Mammalia, Carnivora, Felidae.
GUUUUCCAGAGCUCUGACAGUGCUGGUUCAUAUAGUUGCUGUUGGUUUUGUUGGGGAACAAGAGCUUAGAUUGUCUUAGUCCACCAUUUUGCUGGUGUCACUCAGGAUUUUCAUUAAGCAAACUCAUACUCAGUUUCUACAAAUGAAAGUCAAGUCAGUCAUCUAAACAUCUCAAUUUCUAAUCAAGAGGAUUUAGUCUUCUGUUUCCAAUAAAUCUGAAUUUAUGGUGGUG